GACGAACGUUGGCGGCGUGCUUAAUACAUGCAAGUCCACUGAAGCAGUGGUAGCAAUAUCGCUGUGGAGGUGGCGCACGGGUGAGUAACACGUAGGUAAUCUGCCUUCAGGUCUGGCAUAACUCCGGGAAACCGGGGCUAAUAGCAGAUGAUGCAGCGGCUCGACAUCGAGACAGUUGUUAAAGCUAUGGCGCCUGAAGAUGAGCCUGCGUCUGAUUAGCUAGUUGGCGGGGUAACGGCCCACCAAGGCAACGAUCAGUAGCUGGUCUGAGAGGAUGAUCAGCCACACUGGAACUGAGACACGGUCCAGACUCCUACGGGAGGCAGCAGUAAGGAAUAUUGCUCAAUGGGAGAAAUCCUGAAGCAGCAACGCCGCGUGAGGGACGAAGGGCUUUGGCUUGUAAACCUCUGUAGUGAGAGAAAAAAAUCCCAAUCUUUGGGACAUGAUGGUAGCUCAAAAGUAAGCCCCGGCUAACUACGUG
This 481-nucleotide ribosomal RNA is filed under the name uncultured bacterium. RNAcentral describes it as "partial 16S ribosomal RNA". It matches the Rfam family "Bacterial small subunit ribosomal RNA", at positions 28 to 507 of the family's 1533-position model. The record is from RNAcentral.